GCUAAUUUAGUUUAUUUAGAAUUUUUGAUUUGUAAUUAAAUGGUUUUAUUAGCU
RNAcentral lists this transfer RNA (54 nucleotides) under Crassicauda sp. Ningbo-2019. RNAcentral's name for it is "tRNA-Thr". Lineage: Eukaryota; Metazoa; Nematoda; Chromadorea; Rhabditida; Tetrameridae. The record is from RNAcentral.